This 29-nucleotide non-coding RNA is filed under the name Mus musculus (house mouse). The record is from RNAcentral. Lineage: Eukaryota; Metazoa; Chordata; Mammalia; Rodentia; Muridae.
UNCCUAAAUGCCAACAGUAAUGACGGGGG